RNAcentral lists this ribosomal RNA (261 nucleotides) under uncultured archaeon. RNAcentral describes it as "partial 16S ribosomal RNA". It matches the Rfam family "Archaeal small subunit ribosomal RNA", at positions 721 to 982 of the family's 1478-position model. The record is from RNAcentral.
CACUGACAUUAGAUACCCCGGUAGUCCCAGCCCUAAACGAUGCGCGUUAGGUGUAUCGGUGACCACGAGUCACCGAGGUGCCGAAGGGAAACCGUGAAACGUGCCGCCUGGGAAGUACGGUCGCAAGGCUGAAACUUAAAGGAAUUGGCGGGGAGCACCACAACGGGUGGAGCCUGCGGUUUAAUUGAACUCAACGCCGGAAAACUCAUCGGGAGCGACAGCAGUAUGAUUGCCAGGUUGAUGACCUUGCUUGACAAGCUG